AGUUUGAUCCUGGCUCAGGAUGAACGCUGGCGGCGUGCUUAACACAUGCAAGUCGAACGAAUGAACUCAAACGGAUUUCUUCGGAAUGAAGUUUGGAUGAUUUAGUGGCGAACGGGUGAGUAACACGUGAGAAACCUGCCUUUCACAGAGGGAUAGCCGUUGGAAACGACGAUUAAUACCUCAUGACAUCAAGAUACCGCAUGGUAAUUUGAUUAAAGAUUUAUCGGUGAAAGAUGGUCUCGCGUCUGAUUAGCUAGUUGGUAAGGUAGUGGCUUACCAAGGCGACGAUCAGUAGCCGGCCUGAGAGGGUGAACGGCCACACUGGAACUGAGACACGGUCCAGACUCCUACGGGAGGCAGCAGUGGGGAAUUUUGCACAAUGGGGGAAACCCUGAUGCAGCGACGUCGCGUGAACGAUGAAGGCCUUCGGGUUGUAAAGUUCUGUCCUUGGCGAAGAUAAUGACAGUAGCCAAGAAGCAAGCCCCGGCUAAAUACGUGCCAGCAGCCGCGGUAAUACGUAUGGGGCGAGCGUUGUCCGGAAUUAUUGGGCGUAAAGGGUACGUAGGCGGUUAUGUGGGUCCGUAUUAAAAGGCAUUGGCUCAACCAAUGUUCGGUAUGGAAACUGCAUAACUUGAGUAGAUGAGGGGUAAGUGGAAUUCCUAGUGUAGCGGUGAAAUGCUUAGAUAUUAGGAAGAAUACAGGUGCCGAAGGCCACUUACUGGAAUCUAACUGACGCUGAGGUACAAAAGCGGGGGGGGCAAAACAGAAUUAAAUACCCUGGGAAACCCCCCCCUGUAAA
RNAcentral lists this ribosomal RNA (799 nucleotides) under uncultured bacterium. Its description in RNAcentral is "bacterial SSU rRNA". It matches the Rfam family "Bacterial small subunit ribosomal RNA", at positions 10 to 806 of the family's 1533-position model. The record is from RNAcentral.